RNAcentral lists this transfer RNA (69 nucleotides) under marine eukaryotic metagenome. It matches the Rfam family "tRNA". Rfam says of the family: Transfer RNA (tRNA) molecules are approximately 80 nucleotides in length. The record is from RNAcentral.
CGGAAGUGGCUCAGUGGUAGAGCAUCUCCUUGCCAAGGAGAAGGUCGCGGGUUCGAAUCCCGUCUUCCG